CCGAGAGUUGGCCUGGGUAGGCCAACGAAAAACUAAACUUCCCCCCGACGACGUCUCUUCAUGACUCUGCCGCGCGAGGCGAGCCCGCAUGUGAUCCGCGAAGGUUGUGCUAUCAUCCUCCUAGUGAGUGAGCGAAAGCUACAAACGACGCCGAAAGCGGCGGCUCUCAUCAUGCGUCAGGCAGGGUCCUUGGGGGAGACGUUCAGAAUAAACCCCGUGAAAGAAAAGCGUUAUGCGAUGUCGGGCGAGGGGCGUCUCGCCGAGCUUUGCUAAGCUCGAAACAAAGCGUACCCCACACUUUUCAACCCCAAACAAACUCUGAAUCUGAACUCAAAGGGAGGCGCGAGCGUGCAUUUAUUUAUUUAAUAAUAAUGAUAAUGCCGCGAAGCCUUCUCAACCUUUAACGUU
This 408-nucleotide unclassified non-coding RNA is filed under the name Papenfussiella callitricha. RNAcentral describes it as "partial ITS1". Lineage: Eukaryota; Phaeophyceae; Ectocarpales; Chordariaceae. The record is from RNAcentral.